CGUAGGGAAGCGCUGGGCCACCGCGGCUAUUGUGCGUCGCACUCUCGCCCUCCUCUUCCCGCUGCGGUGUCUAUGGAGCUAGGCUACGUUUCAUUGCCGCCCCGGCUUAACCCUUCCGGCGCCUAACAGGACAGCCGGCCGGCUCCCUUGCACCAGGAAGAAAUCUUAGCAGCCCGCGGGCCCUGGUCACGAAACCCUAAGGUACAAGGAAAACAGUUGAAGAAGGAGCCAGAGCUCUCCGGUUUGGUCCUCGGGCUUCACUGGGGCGGGGCGCAGGCGUUGGCUUUAAGAAAGGGGAGGGGACAGUGCAAUCCGGGUUGCCCGCGGAGUUCGGCGAAGGAAGUCUUCCGCUCGCUCGGGAGCGAGGAGCCUGUAGAUAGGCUGCUCCCAGCUCCAGCUCUAACCUCGUCUACACCCUGGGCGGGCCCAAGUGUCACGUUUGCAAUUGCUCAGGAAGGAUCCGGCCAGUCUCCGGAGGCAAGUCGGGCUGCGGUUUUUGCUGCCUAUCUGGGGAGGCGAUACCUAGGGGGCAUGCUGCUUGCUAGGCAACACCCUGCCGGGAUCCGACUGCGGUAGUUAGCUCUCCCUGGCCCUGAAGCCGUUGCCGGGGCGCCUGUUCUCCGCCCGGACCAGCCAGCGCUCCCCAGGAGUCUCACUGAAACAGAACCAUGGGUCAUCCCCCGCUGGAGUUCAGCGACUGCUACCUGGACAGCCCCGAUUUCCGCGAGAGACUCAAGUGUUAUGAGCAGGAACUGGAGAGGACCAACAAAUUCAUCAAAGACGUGAUCAAAGACGGCAACGCGCUUAUCAGCGCUAUGAGAAAGAUGGAGUCUGUCUAUGUUGUCCAGUCUGGUCUUGAACUCUUGCCUCAAGUGAUCCUCCCAUCUCGGCCUCACAUAGUGUUGGGAUUCCAAGCAUGAGCCACUGAACUUGGCUUCAGUAGCAUUUUCAGUGUUAGCUCCAUCCUUAGUAUGAUGACCCUCAUUCCUCCUCCUAAGUGGACCACACACUACAGAGAUCUUGCCUAUCACUGAAAACAAAAGUGGACUUCAUGAAUUCUAUGGGCUUUGACCAACUAGUGUUAAUAACUUGCUUUUGGGGAGAGCCCUUUUUCUGUUCUACUCUCUGUUCCAACUCAUCUAUAGAUAAAAGAUCUAUUGUUUUUGGGGGGUUUAAAAAAUAAGUUUAUUGAGAUAAAAGUCACAUACCAUAAAAUUCACCCAUUUGUAAUGUCUCAUUCAAUGUUUUGUAGUAUAUUCACAGAGUUGUGCAACCAUCACCACAAUCAAUUUUAGAAUAUUUUCAUCACUCUGAAAAGAAACAUUGUACCCAUUAUGAAGAAGGCCUACUCUUAAACUUAGUUCAUUAUCAAUAAUAGUAAUAUUUGCUGAGGGCUUAUUCUGUGCAUUAGGCUGAGUACUUGCCUUUGUUAUCUCAUUUAAUACUUAUAAACAUCCUGUGAAUUAGGGACUAAUAUUAUUCCCAUUUUACAGAUGAGGAAACUGAGGCAUGUAGAAGUUUAAAACUUGUUCCUAUCCAAACUGGUUGUACAUGGUGAAUCCUAGAUUCUAACUUAGGCCAUCUGGUACCAUAGCAUUUUAUUUUAUUUUAUUUUAUUUU
Long non-coding RNA from Mandrillus leucophaeus (drill), 1620 nucleotides. RefSeq lists it as uncharacterized. Lineage: Eukaryota; Metazoa; Chordata; Mammalia; Primates; Cercopithecidae. The transcript is spliced from 3 exons. The record is from RefSeq and is a predicted model, not a curated record.